UGUGUGUGUGUGUGUGUGUACUUUUGCUAGUAACCCUCUUUUGAUCACUUGAUCCUUUUAACAGAUAUGUGAAUAAUAUCCAAGUUGGUAAUAUAUAUUGAAAAAAAUAUGUUGACUAGAUUUGUGCCAUAUAAAACAUUUUCAAAUAGCCUUCACUCCCCAUGCUCUCUCUUUCAAACAGUCCCCUUUAAAACCUCUGCUAUUAAUAUUAAACUGGUCUGGCUAGGGCAGAACAUGAUACUCUGAGAGGACCUAUUUCAUAAUAGUGCAUUCUCCAAUGUUGAGUAAACUGACCUGUGAAGAAGUGCUGGUACUUACACAUGCUGUAUAUAAUGCUUUUCAUCUGAAGAUCUCAGUACACUUUAAGACUUUCAGUUAUUUUAUUCCCACAACAUCCCUUGAUCACAUACCCUCAGUGUCUGCAUGCAAUGGCCCAUUAUACAUUUUGAAGCACAUCAGCUCUCUCAGGGAAAAAACAAAUCUACAUGCUGUUUCCCACAGAUUGAACCUACUUAUGGAAGAAAGAAACAACAACAAAUCUUUCUGUUUCCCAGUCAAGGCCAUUUUGCAGCUUUUGGAAGAGCUUCUGGAAAGAGAUGAUCUUCAUAACUACAAAUAUUAGAGGAGCUGUUCAUUGGGUGAAAAUAUGCAACAUUCCAAGUAUAGAGUGAUCCUUCUCUCCAACCGUUUUAAACUCAUCUUGCAGGAUGUUUUUCUCUCUGGUGUAAGAGAUGCACCUGUCUGUGUAUUUGUACCAAACUAUUUUAACAAAGAAAAUAAAAUCUGUAGUUCUUUGUUCUGCAUCUGCAAAGUGACAGUCA
Dermochelys coriacea (leatherback sea turtle) is the source of this 821-nucleotide long non-coding RNA. RefSeq lists it as uncharacterized. The record is from RefSeq and is a predicted model, not a curated record. The transcript is spliced from 2 exons. Lineage: Eukaryota; Metazoa; Chordata; Testudines; Dermochelyidae.